UGCCUGGCGGCAGUAGCGCGGUGGUCCCACCUGACCCCAUGCCGAACUCAGAAGUGAAACGCCGUAGCGCCGAUGGUAGUGUGKKGUCCUACUCUCUGUCGAGUAGUGAACUGCCCCGAAA
This 121-nucleotide ribosomal RNA is filed under the name Salmonella enterica subsp. enterica serovar Derby. The record is from RNAcentral. Lineage: Bacteria; Pseudomonadati; Pseudomonadota; Gammaproteobacteria; Enterobacterales; Enterobacteriaceae.